This 253-nucleotide ribosomal RNA is filed under the name uncultured bacterium. RNAcentral's name for it is "partial 16S ribosomal RNA". It matches the Rfam family "Bacterial small subunit ribosomal RNA", at positions 524 to 776 of the family's 1533-position model. The record is from RNAcentral.
UACGUAGGGGGCAAGCGUUGUCCGGAUUUAUUGGGCGUAAAGAGCGUGUAGGCGGCUUUACAGGUCCGUUGUGAAAACUCGAGGCUCAACCUCGAGACGCCGGUGGAAACCGUAAGGCUAGAGUCCGGAAGAGGAGAGUGGAAUUCCUGGUGUAGCGGUGAGAUGCGCAGAUAUCAGGAAGAACACCCGUGGCGAAGGCGGCUCUCUGGGACGGUACUGACGCUGAGGCGCGAAAGCGUGGGGAGCGAACAGG